CAAAAAAAUACUGGGUUAUUUUUUUACCCAAAUACUGGUUUAUGACAAUUUUACUACUUAUUGGGUUUUUUAUACCCACACUGGGUAAUUUGAUAGAAACGUGCUGGGUUAUAUGUUUACCCAAUUAUUGGUGUGUGGUCGUUUGACCAUAUACUGGGUUAUGCUAACCAUUGAUGAGUUAUUAUACCCAAUCACUGGGUUUAUCAUAACAUUUGAAAUCAGAGCCAGCCAACGGACUUUUUCCUGGAAGUCAACUGAACUGAGGAAACCUUCAACAACAAGGAAAGGUUAACCAGAGACCGCACUGGCGUCCGGAUCCUUUGUAAGCUGAUCACGUUAUGUCCGUCUGUGCUAAGACUGGAAGUGACUGAAAGACAACACAGAUGCAUUCUUUCAGCAAGGUGACCAAAAUCUGUUUCACUCUGCAGCACUUGUCCUGGAGGUUUUGUAGACAGAACUGGAAGUGACUGAAAGAAAACGGAGACUCAUUCUUUCAGCAAGGUGACCAAAAUCUGUUUCGCUCUGCAGCACUUGUCCUGGAGGCUUUGUAGACAGAGUGACUGAACGAAAACCUAAAUGAGAAAUAGGAACAACAUGUUUAGAAGAUGAAGUGUGGAAGCCUCGGCAGCUUCAGUAUGCUGUGUACCUCAUCUUGAACUCUUUCACAUGGUGAUUCCUACACAUAAUUGCACACUGUAUGUGUUUAGUUAUCCUAUCUUACAAAGACUUAUGCCAACACUGUAUCUGCCUUUCCUCAAUACAAUAUAAAAAGUGCUGCAUAGACCAUUUAGAGAAGCAAUGUCUCGUGACUUUUACUGUAUGUUUAUUUUUGAGCAAGUGUCAUUUGUUUUGUAAAAUAUCUUUGCAGAUUUUCUUUUCAUGCCUGGACACUUUUUUUUAUUUCAAAUAUUGCUUUGAAUUGAUGCAAAUUGAAGAACGUGAAUCCCUGGUAAUAAAGGAAGGUUGACCAGAAAAUCA
Engraulis encrasicolus (European anchovy) is the source of this 978-nucleotide long non-coding RNA. RefSeq lists it as uncharacterized. The record is from RefSeq and is a predicted model, not a curated record. The transcript is spliced from 8 exons. NCBI's taxonomy places the organism in Eukaryota, Metazoa, Chordata, Actinopteri, Clupeiformes, Engraulidae.